GCAAACUUGGUCAUUUAGAGGAAGUAAAAGUCGUAACAAGGUAACCGUAGGUGAACCUGCGGUUGGAUCAUUAAAAAGGUAAGAGCUCAAAGCUCUGUUCCAUAGCAGUCCGUUGCGGGUUUGGACUUGUUCCCCCCCUCAGCGUUGACUUUGCCACGGGUGUCUUUUCUCCUGAAAGGAGAGAAGCAUUCAAACAUCUAUGUGAACUGUUUCUGUCUCUGUCGGGCUUGGCAGCGUCAAACCUGCCGCCAGUGCAUGAGGGUGCAAUACCCUUAUCCCAUGUCUGGCAACCCGACAAAGGACUUCGGUCAACCUAUUUUGUUUAUACACUUUGUCUGUCAUCAAUGUAUCACAAUAUACAUAACAACUUUUGGCAACGGAUCUCUUGGCUCUCGCAUCGAUGAAGAACGCAGC
This 414-nucleotide unclassified non-coding RNA is filed under the name uncultured fungus. Its description in RNAcentral is "partial contains small subunit ribosomal RNA, internal transcribed spacer 1, and 5.8S ribosomal RNA". The stretch from base 1 to 73 matches the Rfam family "Eukaryotic small subunit ribosomal RNA", at positions 1759 to 1831 of the family's 1831-position model. Lineage: Eukaryota; Fungi. The record is from RNAcentral.